Molecule: long non-coding RNA, 1035 nt
Filed under: Anas platyrhynchos platyrhynchos (common mallard)
Lineage: Eukaryota; Metazoa; Chordata; Aves; Anseriformes; Anatidae
Description: lncRNA (ENSAPLG00000023955.1)
Source: RNAcentral
GGAAGAUAUGGGUUCAUAAUGGGACAUUGUUGAACUAAGUUCUAUUGAAUCUUGAGUCAUUUUUGUGGGAUUCUUUGUUCUGUAAUGUCACCGACAAAUUUAGAAAUGUUUUCACUUUUACUCAUCAAUCCAGCUACAGAAAUAUGCUGGUGUUCUAUAAUUUUGGGUGGAAAUUUGCUAACUCAGACAUCAUAUACCCAGCAAAUAUGCAUUUCUACACGCGAACCAGAUGACUGGUCAAGAAAUGAAUUUUCCACUGCUGUAGAAGCCCAGUACUGUACUGCUUCUAAACUGCAUGUGCCUGCUUGCCUGGCUUUCUGGUUCAUUUAUGCUACGAGAAAGCUUUCUGUAAAUGGUCCAACUUUUCCAUAAGGCUUCAUAGGAUCUUCAGAUUUAUGCAGAUUGGGACAAAAAAGAACAUUUCCCUCCACUCUCUAAAUUUCCAUGAUAUUGUGUAGCAAGAAAGGAUUUAUUCUUUUGCCUCCUGCCAGCAAGAGCAUGAGUGAAUGUGGUGUAGUGGUGACAGCUUUAUUCUUGUUACCUGAGAACACAUUCACAAUCAAAUGCCAAAACGUCUAUGUUCUGGAUUCCUGAGGCAUCACGCUCCAAGGAUUUGUAUGUUCAUCUUGUAAGUAAGGAAAACAGCUUGGCAAUUCAAAACAAUUGUGAGAGGACUUAGCACAGACAAGAGAUCUUGUGGCUCAUCUCAUAAUAUUGCUGAUAGGGAACAUCAAAAGCCUUUUUUUCCCAAAUACAUUAGUAUAUUGAAGACUUAUUUUAGAAGAGCUUGAUUACUGUGAAGGAAAGGAUACAUUUCCAAGCAAAACCAUCACAUUUAAGAAGAAAUGCACAGUGUUAAAAAAAAAAAAAAAAAGAAAGAAAAAAGAAAAAAAAGGCCUUUAAAGAAAUCAUUUCAUCUGUGCUGUACUCCAACAGAAAAAUGAUUCUACUCAUCUUGUCUAUCCUCAUGAUUCUUUUCCUGUCAUCCUGGAUUUAGUGGAAUAAACUGUUUCACCUCUCAUGCCUUAGAGCUCA